CCUACGGGAGGCAGCAGUGGGGAAUAUUGCACAAUGGGGGAAACCCUGAUGCAGCGACGCCGCGUGAAGGAAGAAGUAUCUCGGUAUGUAAACUUCUAUCAGCAGGGAAGAAAAUGACGGUACCUGACUAAGAAGCCCCGGCUAACUACGUGCCAGCAGCCGCGGUAAUACGUAGGGGGCAAGCGUUAUCCGGAUUUACUGGGUGUAAAGGGAGCGUAGACGGAGCAGCAAGUCUGAUGUGAAAGGCAGGGGCUCAACCCCUGGACUGCAUUGGAAACUGUUGAUCUUGAGUACCGGAGGGGUAAGCGGAAUUCCUAGUGUAGCGGUGAAAUGCGUAGAUAUUAGGAGGAACACCAGUGGCGAAGGCGGCUUACUGGACGGUAACUGACGUUGAGGCUCGAAAGCGUGGGGAGCAAACAGGAUUAGAUACCCCUGUAGUC
Molecule: ribosomal RNA, 440 nt
Filed under: uncultured bacterium
Lineage: Bacteria
Description: bacterial SSU rRNA
Rfam family: Bacterial small subunit ribosomal RNA
Source: RNAcentral